RNAcentral lists this ribosomal RNA (253 nucleotides) under uncultured bacterium. RNAcentral describes it as "partial 16S ribosomal RNA". It matches the Rfam family "Bacterial small subunit ribosomal RNA", at positions 524 to 776 of the family's 1533-position model. The record is from RNAcentral.
UACAGAGGAGCCGAGCGUUGUCCGGAUUGACUGGGCGUAAAGCGCACGCAGGCGGACGCGCGCGUGGGGUGUGAAAUCUGGCCGCUUAACGGCCAGGCGCCAUCCCAUACGGCGUGUCUGGAGUGAUGCAGAGGUCGAUGGAAUUGCCGGUGUAGUGGUGAAAUGCGUAGAGAUCGGCAGGAACACCCAGGGGGAAACCAGUCGACUGGGCAUCUACUGACGCUGAGGUGCGAGAGCGUGGGGAGCGAACCGG